AGGGCUGAGAACCAACAUUCUAGUCUUUUUAUUAGCUUUAUUAGCAUUGAUCUUAAGAUCCCCUACUCUAGGAUGUCAGAAUUUCAGGGAUAAAGAGAUGGUUGGUAAAAGCUACCUUUGUCAUUUGUUCAUUCACCCUGACAACAUAUAUAUUAAGAUGAUGGAAUGAAAUGUUAUAUGAAGAUCUCAGGAACACCAACCAAUAACACAAAGCCCUAGUUCUCAAGUGACUGAGAGUCUAGUAUAAGGGGGAAAAGACAGGUGAAAUGCUAUAUUAAAAGAUAUACAAGAAAAAAAUAAGGCCAACCUGAUAUCCCACCAUCACCUCAAAAGCAACACAUCCAAAAGCUUCUCUCUUCUCUCCACACAUUUUCCUAGUCCUUAGAUACUAGGACCACAAUCCUAGAAAACUAGGCUUGGAUAUUAGCCUGGCACUGACUCCUUCCCACAUGUCUUGAGUUGACAAAUCGUGUGGGUUUUCCCUCAACAGUAUUCCUUACAUCUGCAUCCUCCUCUGGAUUCUCACUUUAUGCCUAUAGUCUUAUUUAAUGUUGGUCUAGAAUACAAAUACAGUGAUAUAACUUGACUCCCUAUACAUACUUCCUUAUUGCAAAACAUAACUCUGGUCAUGUCUAAAAAUCUCCAGUGAUUUUUUUUAUGUAUAAGAAUUUUAAAUUACUGAUUUUUCAAAUUCUAAUAACCUCCACUAUUUGUCCAAACCAUGUAAGUAUUUAUUCUGGUAGUUUAUAUGAAUACUAUUAAGAAGCAAUGAAAAAAAGCUAACUAAAUAUUUUACAGGAACAGAAAACCAAACACUGCAUGUUCUCAUUCAUAAGUGGGAGUUGAACAAGGAGAACACAUGGACACAGAGAGGGAAACAUCACACACCGGGGCCUGUUGGAGGGUGGGGGGUUAGGGGAGGGAUAGCAUUAGGAGAAAUACCAAUCAUAGAUGAAGGGUUGAUGGGUGAAGCAAACCACAAUGGCAUGUGUAUACCUAUGUAACAAACCUGCACCUUCUGCACAGGUAUCCCAGAACUUAAAGUAUAAUAAAAAAUAAAAAUAAAUAAAGAUUUCAUAUAUGUCAAACACAAACGUUUAUGAAUAUAUUACAAGGAGGAAUGCAAAAAGCAAAAAUGUAAAUUUACAGUACAUAGUAUGGGAAUAUUAAACAUCGUUCCAAUAUAAAUUAUUCAUAGAUUCAAUUAAAGUAUUAUUAAAAUAGCAAACAAAAUAGUAGAUUAAGUGGAAAAAACAAUUAAGAUAAUUGAAAGCAAAAUAAUAUUCUUGGAUUUUAUAGAUUUGUGAUGUAAAGAAGCAAAGCUUCAUUUGAUCCAUUUUGUUGUAAUUUUUCUAACUGCUCCCAAAAUUCUUUUAACAUCUACACUACUCAGGGAAACGCUGUAGAGGACCCUGUAAACUAUUUCUGCAUAUUUUCCUUUGAUUCCUUCAUCUUCAGAUGAUCCUACUUUUUUCAUAAAUGCAAGAUCUUUGUUACUACCUUUUUUUCUUUUCAAGAACUGGAAUAUUUUUAAUUAAGUUAGACCUAUAAUUUUUAUUUCUUUUUUUUUUAACAUUUCGUUUGUAUUUGCCAUCUUUUGUUUUUUGUACUUGGAGAUACCUAUGCAGAGUUACCGCUCUCCCUAUCAACACUGUCUUAACACAUGUGCCAUCAGAGUAGGAUUAUUCCUGCAAAACAAGUUUGCAGCACCACAGUAUGUUUGCUUAUUAUGUGUGAACCAUUUGUCUGUCUUUUUUGUAUAAAUUGAACAAUUAAACGAUUGAUUUUACUUGUAUGAUGUAAUAAAUGUCGGAAUAAUAAAACAAUAUUAUACUAACAAAAUUACCAGUACUUUGGACUUCAAAUUAAUAUGACAUUAUUGAAUGCUGAAAUACUGAAAGCCUGUAUUGAAAUCCCUGGAUUGCAUUACUAAUAUCACAGUACUUCUUAAGAUAAUGGUAUUUUUACUAGGUGGACUUUUCUAAGUGAGGCACUGUAGGUACAGUGGUCCAAAUUUACAUAAUCCUCUGAAAUAUUCUGUAAUUUAAUUAUUGUGACUCUAUUGUAAAGUAAUAAAAUUGCUAAGAUUAUAUAGUUUCCCAUCAGAAGAAGCAAUUCCUGUUAUUUAGUUAGUGUUUUUGCAUUAGAUUGAAAUGUCAGAAGGUCAUUGGAAAGUUUGCUAAUAUUUUUUAAAUUGUUUUUAUUCUUUGCAUUGUUUCUGAGAUUAAAAAAUCAUUUAACAUAAUGUAUUGUGUUUUAUUUGGAGAAAAUUCUUUGCUACAUUACUGUUCAUUUGCAACAUUUACAUUUUACAUAUAUGACAGUAAAUUUUAUAUAUAUAUAUAUAUAUAUAUGCAAAAGGAAUUUUAUUUCAAGGAGCCCAGUUUUAAUAACUUACUAUCAUACUAUUGGUGGCAAAAAAUUAAAAAAAUAAAUUUUCAUUUUACAAUAUGAUUUUUAGGAUUUUAAAUUUUAUUUAUAUUUCUAAUUUCAUAUACUUUCCGACAUUUCUCUAUCAGAACACACACAGACAUAUUCACACAUAUGUUUACAUAGAUGUUCUGACUUUUGCUUGAAAAUUUUGUUCUACCCAGAAUAACUCCAUUCAUCCUUUCCAUCUUUCUAAAUCUUAUCCAUUCUUCAAAACACUGUAUAAAUCCUGCCUAUGCUUCUCUGGCCACGGUAGCAUUAAAUCUUCUUUCCUUCUUCUGGAUACCUUUGGUCUUUAAUAUUUGUAUCAUUAAUUUAUUAAAUAUGUUCAUUCUCUUAAUAGUUCUUAGAGUUAUGCUGCUUAAUAUUUUUUAUUUAACUUUUAUAUGCAGUGAUUUAACUGUAAACUUUUUGAGGACAGAGUGCUAAGUUCAUCUUUAUCAAUUUGCUCUCUAAUUGCCUUCUGUAAAAACUAGUAAAUAUAAGAGAAACAAGCAAUAAAAUCCACACUGCCCAUAUCUUACAUUUUAUAUGGGAAAGCGAUAAAAUUUAAAAUAAAUAUAUUUAUUAUGAUAAUGUUGAGUAGGGAUGUUAAUUCUCCCAUGUGACAUGUAUAUGGGUAUAUAUGUAUGCUUGUAUUUAUAAAGAAACGAUUAUAACUUAAUUCUCAUUAGCCUCUUACAGCUUUUCAAAAUUCAUUCUACUGUGUCUUCUCAUGACUGAUAACUUGGAAAGGUGAUUGACUGCCAUUAUAGCCCUUGUUUAUUUAGGAGGAAACUGGUGUUCAGAGAAUUAUAACUUGAUAAUAAAGAUUUGAUCCUUAUUAAUUGGCUAAGGAGGUGCCAUAAUUAGAGUCUAGGAGUCUUCUAAUCCAGUUUCUCUCAAAAUAUCUGCACUGAAAGACCAGCUCCCCACCCACCCCCAAUAUGCCGCUAACCAUUAUUUUUUAGUAAUAUAAUUGAAUUACUAGAAAAAUAAAAAAAUAAGUUAAACAAAACACAAGUCCAAAUAUUUUAUUACUAAAUUAAACCUCAUUAAAUUACUUUAACAAAUAGCUCUAAGAGUUCCUAAAUCAUUCAUCUCAAUGCGCUUAUUGUUUUGGUUGGAUAACAAAUAGCACAUGGAACAGCUCCAGUAUCUGGAUCACACUUUGAGUAUUGUUUGUGUCAAUCAUGACAUAUCCCUUCUAAAAGAAUCAUCCUCAUCCAGAAUAUCUGCCAUCUAAAUUGCUGUUUACUCACACAGGAUCUAACCCUAAUGCUAACCCAACCCAAACACUAAAUUUACAGCUGAAUGGAGUGGGGCCAAAAAAUAGAUUGGCCAGCAAUUUUUGAACUGUGUGGCCAGGCUGCAAAAGAUGAGCUGGGUUCAUCAGUAUUUUUGUCUCUGGGCUUAGAUAUAAUAUGCGAAGAAAAAAAUUUUCUGUGAAAUUCCCAGGUUUGGGACAUGGUUAAAAUGUGAACGAGCAGAAACUUUGAGUAAUCCGUGAAAGCUGGAUGGGGCAGGGCAGAAAGAGGAAUAUGUGCAAUGCAGCUGAGUCAUAUUAAUAGUAGAUCACUAAAGAUUAAAGAACUGCUGGGCCAGUCACAGUGGCUCAUGCCUGUAAUCCCAGCACUUUGGGAGGCCGAGGCGGGUGGAUCACGAGGUCAGGAGUUCGAGACCAGCCUGGUCAACAUGGUGAAACCCCAUCUCUACUAAAAAUACAAAAGUUAACUGGGCGUGCAGGUGCACACCUGUAAUCCCAGCUACUCGGGAGGCUGAGGCAGGAGAAUCGCUUGCACCCAGGAGGUGGAGGUUACAGUGAGCCGAGAUCAUGCCAUUGCACUCCAGCAUGGGCAACAGGGCAAGACUCCAUCUAAAACAACAACAACAACAACAACAACAAAGAUUAAAGAACUGUGCUGAAGCUGAAAUAUAUAAAGCUGCUAGAAUUCUAGAAUUACCCCCAAUACCCCUUAGCCCAAGGAAUGAAACAUCAUUUUCUUUGAAUGUCCUAAGAUACAGAUCCCACACUUCUUACAAUGUAUGUCUAUAUCCUAGCUGGCACAAGUAUGUCUCUGAAUUAUUCAAGAAGCUUAGCUUAACCAGGACAUAGUCCCAGGCUUUUCUUAUUAUACCAAACAAGCUUAUUUCAGAACCAAUAGAAGCCAUAUUUGAAAGGCAAGUUAUUGGCAUCCACAUCUCUGCAAUGAGACUGUAAACCAAACUGUGUUGAUCUGGUAGAACUAUCUGUUUGCUACUAAAAUCUGUCUCCUACAUACCUACUUUUCUAUUGCUUUGUUUUUAACUUAGUCACAAAAAAGAAUAAUUACAACAUUUUUUAUAGUUAAUUAUAGUCUGAUUUUGCUCAAGGAGGAAAUAUCUUAAAAUUUAUACCAAAUUAUCUCAAUAAUGGAUGAGCUCCCACAAUUCAUCUGCCCUCUGUAUGUUCUCCGAUUUGCAGAGCUUUUUAGAGCCAACCCCUACUCUUUAAUAGGCCAGACAUGUGCUUUUAGUUGUACUAACCCAGACACAUAUCAUAUAUUAACGGCUUCUGGAAUCACCCCAGAAAUCAAAGGUGUAGGUAUGAGAUUGAGUGCACAGUGAUUUUCAAAACGUGUUUUAUUGCUUGAUGCUUUUUUUUUUAAAAAAAGGAAAAUGUUCAGAUAGAUUUUAAUUCCUUAGCUAUAUUAAAAUAGCAUAUUUGCUUCACAGUUUAAAAGUUUGUCUUAGUACAAAAAUGAAAUCAUAGCUUCCUUUUUUAUUCUUCAGUAAAUUCUAAAUUUUAAGUUACUGCUAAAUUAAAUGGUUUGUGUCAGAUGUUAACAAUAUGCAGCUUUAGAUUAAAACAAGCUCCAUGUAAUCUUACUGAGCCAGUAGGUCACAGAAAUAAGAGAAAAUGUGCUUGAAUCACAGGAGAGAAGGGAUGUUGGAUAGAUCUGUGAAAUCUUUAUGUUGUAGUAUCAGCUGAUUGAUAGCAGUGAUUCUCAGAAGGGUUCCAAUAUUAUGCCUUUUAAAAGCUGGAGAUUAGUGCAACCAUGGUGAAUACAGUGACAUUCUGGCAAAGAAAAAAGGGUCAGGGCUGGCAAAAUGUGGCAGGUGUCAAAAUAAAAGGUUAGGCUCUAUGCCUGGGGACCCAUCUGUCAGAUAAAAGUAUGACAAGGCAAUUAAUGUGUUUAUUUAUGUUGCUUAUGACAAACCAUGCAUUCCCUAAAAAUGAUCAAUUUAAACAUUAUCAACUGUUUUCUGGAAAUUAAAAUUAAUAUAAAAAUAAAAUGCUUAAAAUAAAAAGCAUAGUGUAAUAUUGAAAUGGGUUGUUUAUAUAACCAAAUAAAGUUAACUUGGGGAAUUAUAGUAGUCUUCAUUGAAGGAUUAGAACUAUUAAAUAUAACAUCUUGACAAUAUAGAGGUUAUAUUAAGGAUCCACAAAACUGAUGUUUAUGUUGCAAGAUAAUCUUGGUAGCACUUCUCAUAAGUUCAGCAUGUUUUAUAUUCAUUGAGCUAAAUUUGAUAAUUUCAUAAUAAAAUGAAGCCAAGAAAACUAUGAAGAAAUAGAAUUUAGAUAUCCAAGCUAUGCGUCUUGCAUUUUCUUUAAAUGUUUUGUUCACAACCUUGUCAUUAUUAGAGCUUUCAUUUUCACUUUGUGACUAAUCCUGACUUCUCUUUAAUUUAUUUAUUAUUUAUUUAGCUUUCUCACUACUUCUGUUUUACCAUCUGUUUAAACUAGAAUAUGUUUAGAUUUAAUAUUCAUCGGUGAUACAUUUUCCUGCAGAUAAAAUAAACUACUACAAGCUCCUAAAAUGUCAUGUGUUUUACUGGUCAAUAAAAUCUAACCCAGAAUUUUGAGAGAAACCAUUUACUACAGUCUAAAGUUUUAUGCAGAAACUGAUCAUCUCCACUGUUUCCUUGAAUAAAGAAGCUGUCAAUUACCAUGCAUUAAUAAGUGAGGCUCACACCUUAUAGUAACAACAAAAUUAGAAGAGAAAUAAUAUGUAUGUCUAGUGUAAUGUGAUAUGCAGAAGAAAAAUUUAAAUUCUUUAAUUGUAAAGGAAAAAAGCCAAUAUGACAAUGUUAUUGCCAACGUGCACUUUCUGUCUGCUGAGCGAUGAAAUUAACAAGUAAAGCCGUUGGAAUAGUCAAUAAAAUCAUUUGGCUUUGGAAAGAACAGUGGUAUUUUGUUCAAUAGUUUUGUUUUCUUUAGGUUGAGGCAGCAAUUAUGCCAUCAUCAUCACUUUCCAUCUUUUAGAAGGGUAUUGGUUAAAUUUUGAGUUAAUGAUUUUUUUUUCUCCCCAAGAUUCCUUUCUAGCCCCUAACAUUACUAUAGUCUUAAACUAUCUUCUGUUUGCCAUACGAAAUAGCUUCUCAUAGGACAACACCAAUGUCAGGGUAGGAGUUGAGGAAGAAAAAGUAAAUAAAAAUACACAAAAUCCAAACUUUGUUAUAUGUUCCAUUCAGUGGCCUUAUACAUGAUUUACAAAUUUUGUUUGCAGUUUAAUUAUAAUUAACCACUAUUUAAAUCAAAUUCACUCCUGGCUGUAUUUCCUGAUUCAGAGUUCCAUAUUGCUUCUAUUGCUGGUUUUAAUUUAUUUGAACCUCAAUCUUCAUUUCCUAUCCAUUUUUUUUUCAUUUGCCUAGAGGUACUUGAAAAUGCAUUCAGAAAAAAAAAAUUCUUACUCACCAUUUUGUACAACUCUUCAAAACUCUAGGAUAUGCUACAUAAUCCACAUAAUAAAAGUAGUAAUUUCAACAGAAAAUCAAGAUGCCACUCGAUUUUGCCAUGGAUUUAUAAAAAUGACACAUCAGACAACAGAAGCAUAUGAGAAAAAUUUGCUGAGUAUCUACUCACUUCAAUUCAAACAUUUGAAGAAAUUAUGAAAAUUCCGAUGAGUUUUUAAAGUCUGUGCUUGCUCUGGUGUAGUGUAGCCAUGCAUUGAUCUAUCAUCACACAGAGUCUUACACUAUCACCUAGGCUGGAGUGCAGUGGCAUGAUCGAGGCUCAUUGUAAUCACGCCUCCCAGGAACAAGUGAUUCUUGCACCUCAGACUCCGGAGUAGCCGAGACCACAGUUCCUGAAACUGAGUAUGUUGCAUCUUUCUUGUACCACACAGCCAAAAGUGGAAACAAUUCAAAUGUCCAACAACUGAUGAAAAGAUGAAGUGUGGUAUAUCCAUAUAAAGGAAUAAUAUGCAGACAUAAAGUGGAAUGAUUGACACAUGUUUACAACAUGGAUGAACCUUGACAACGCUAUGUUAAGUUAAAGAAGCCAGACACAAAAGGUAAUGUAUCAUAUGAUUCCAUUUGUAGGAAAUGUCCAGAUAGGCAAAGCUAUAGAGACAGAAAGUAGAUUAGUGGGUCGGAGGCAAGGGAGAAUGGGAAAUAAUUGUUGGGUACAUGGUUUUGGGGUGCUGAAAAUAUUCUUGAAUUAAAUGGUGGUGAUGGCUGCACAAUAUUGUGAAUGUACUAAGAAACACUGAAACAUAUAUUUUAAAAAGAUGAAUAUUAUGAUAUGUAAAUUAUAUCUAAAUUUUAAAAAAUUAAAUGAUAAAGCUGCAAAUCAAAUCUGCACAUGAGUUUUUAGAAGUCUUACAUAUAAUAGCCAAAAACUGAAAGCAACCAAGAUGUCUUUUGGUAGGUGAAAGGUUAAACAAACUGUUGUCUAUCCAAACAAUAGAAUACUAUUUAGUGAUAAGAAGGAAGGAGCUAUCAAGUUAUGCAAAAAUAUGCAUGAACCUUACAUGCAUGUUAGUAAGUGAAAGCAGUUAGUCUGAAAGGCUACAUAACUUAUAGUUCAAUGUAUACGACAUUCGGAAAGGGCAAAACUACAGAUUCAGUGAACAGACCGGUGGUUGCCAAGGGUUCCAGGAGAAGGCAGGUUUAAAUAGAUAAAAUACAGAGGAUAUUUUGGUCAAGAAACUUUUCUGUAUGAUAUUAUACUGGUGGAUACACGACAAUUAAAUUGUCAAAACCCAUAGAACUUUAUAGCCCCAACAGUAAAGCUUAACACAUGUAAAUUAAAACAAAAUCAUUUAGGAGAUUAAGAAAUCCCAUGAUGGAAGGCAAUGUGUGACAGAAGAAUCUAACUGUACUACAAGUGAAUGAAAUAACCUCACUGAAGAAAGUAGGGAAAAAGGUACUAAUGGAAGCAACUUCUGAAGUUCGUGGAGUCCACAAAGCUAGAGACAAAAGACACGGUACCUAAACAAUAUAGUGUAGUUGACAAAGUUGCUUCCCACAGGGUUAUGGCUUAACAAUUCUGAUACUACCAUAUAUGUACACUGGAACUGAAGAAUUAAGUAAAUGGAUGGUGGGAGCCAGGUUUCUCACUGUUGGAGUGGGAAGUUACAAAAACACUAGGGGUGGUUAGAAUGCUCAAUGUGGCAAUGGGUUAAAGUUGGAGACAUUAGUAUGAACUCAUGUUUAAUUUAGCAUAUUAUUUAAUUUCCUCUAUAUAUUACAGGUGGAUUAUGGAAAUAUUUACAGAUAAGUGUACAUACAAGGGUUAGUAUACAUAAAUUUUUUUUUGCUCUGUCAGCUGAGAAGACCUAGAAAAAUGACACUCCAGUAGCAAUAAGCACACCUAGUGCCCAGAUCUUGGUUUCUAAUGUACUUUUCUCCAAUUGAAGGAAGCAAGUUACCCUGGGAAAAUGGUUGAUUCCAAAACUGAGGCUGGGAAUAAACAAGAUAAACUUAGGGCAUAUUGUAGUGCCAAAAAGUAAGGAAGUGU
Molecule: long non-coding RNA, 9133 nt
Organism: Symphalangus syndactylus (siamang)
Lineage: Eukaryota; Metazoa; Chordata; Mammalia; Primates; Hylobatidae
Source: RefSeq, a predicted model, not a curated record